AAAAUCCCAUUCUGCCUAUCCACUUUGGUACACCGAGGUCAAUGGAGAGGCUAGAUGUAACGUAACCUCCUAGAUGUGUCCCUGGGAGACACUUUCCUGUCACUCCAAGCUCUCUUUGGCUGCUGAGCUGCCUUUCAGCCCACUUGGAUUUUGAUGGAUUUUAACCCUGAUGAGCAAUUUGGAAGAAGAUCAGCAUGAUAGGAGAUCCUUGUUCCUCGCUGCAUAACUGGAAAUGCCCAGAGAGCAAGUGUGGAAAAAUUGCUGCUGGAGAUUCAAGGCCAGGUGCUUUGGUGCUCGCAGUGGAAGUGUUUUGGUGGAACUGCGUGGCUCUGGAUGCAUCACCUGCGUUUGGAAACACACCCGGCCCUGCUGCACAGCACGCUGAGCAAUUCAUUUUAUCAGGAGCCAAACAGAGGAGAUGCCUUAAGGAGCAGGACGGAGCGUGUCCCCGCAGUCAGAGCUGCAGAAGAAGAUAGAGCACCUUGGCUGGAUAUGAAAGGCCCCAGAAGAACAAAAGAGGAGGAGGAAACAAAAGUCAGAUGGGAAAACAAGCUCGCUAACUUGUUCAAAGAGCCACAGGCUGUCAGCACUGAGCACUAGCGAUUUUGGGGGGCUUUAGUAAAGGAUUGAGUGGUGGAGAUAAAAGCACCACAUGAUUCAUUAAUGUCUUAUGUGGCCUAGACAGGAAGGAGGACAAAGAUGCACAACUGCCAUGGACUUCCUAUGCUGCAUCGCAACACUGGGAAGAAUUGAAACAACUGCAAGAUGUCCUGGGCCAUUCCAGCACCCGCUUUAUCUCCAGUGAUCUUUGACCCCUGCAUGUCAGGAGUUCAAUCUGCCCAGCUGGAACACCAGUGCUCCUGGCUGCUUGUCGACUCCUCUGCUUCAUUUAAUGAAAGUGAGCAAGAGAACCACUGAAAAUUGAGAUGCCUGGGAAGUUAGAAUGGAAAGAUCAGCAGCACAUCUUGGUGGAAGAAAGGAAUUGUUUGUGUCUGUCCUUUUCAGAUAUCCUGGGCACUUUGGGGGUGCAAAGUCUUGAUGGCCCUUGUAAUGAAGGGACCCAUGAAAAAUUGCUUGGUCUGCACAGAAGAGCCCUGGAGACAUUGCAAAGCAGGCACCCAAUUUCUCCCCCCAAAAGCUCAAUUUCUCGCAUGGCCGAGCCUCUGCCCAAAGGAUGGGUCUGUAGGAAGAUGCUGGGGAUGUCCAGCUGUCCCUGCACCCCACAUUUCAGGUAUGGGGCAGUGUGUGGGGUUGUUUGAACCUCACCUACGCAAGGGACACAAGUCAAGGGCCACCACAUUUUAAAGCCACCCCUUCUUCAGGCACACACCUGCCUCUUAGUCAUCUCUUUU
Long non-coding RNA from Cygnus atratus (black swan), 1352 nucleotides. RefSeq lists it as uncharacterized. Lineage: Eukaryota; Metazoa; Chordata; Aves; Anseriformes; Anatidae. The transcript has 3 exons. The record is from RefSeq and is a predicted model, not a curated record.